UGGCUCAGAUUGAACGCUAGCGGGAUGCCUUACACAUGCAAGUCGAACGGCAGCACGGACUUCGGUCUGGUGGCGAGUGGCGAACGGGUGAGUAAUGUAUCGGAACGUGCCUAGUAGCGGGGGAUAACUACGCGAAAGCGUAGCUAAUACCGCAUACGCCCUACGGGGGAAAGCAGGGGAUCGCAAGACCUUGCACUAUUAGAGCGGCCGAUAUCGGAUUAGCUAGUUGGUGGGGUAACGGCUCACCAAGGCGACGAUCCGUAGCUGGUUUGAGAGGACGACCAGCCACACUGGGACUGAGACACGGCCCAGACUCCUACGGGAGGCAGCAGUGGGGAAUUUUGGACAAUGGGGGAAACCCUGAUCCAGCCAUCCCGCGUGUGCGAUGAAGGCCUUCGGGUUGUAAAGCACUUUUGGCAGGAAAGAAACGUCAUGGGCUAAUACCCCGUGAAACUGACGGUACCUGCAGAAUAAGCACCGGCUAACUACGUGCCAGCAGCCGCGGUAAUACGUAGGGUGCAAGCGUUAAUCGGAAUUACUGGGCGUAAAGCGUGCGCAGGCGGUUCGGAAAGAAAGAUGUGAAAUCCCAGAGCUUAACUUUGGAACUGCAUUUUUAACUACCGAGCUAGAGUGUGUCAGAGGGAGGUGGAAUUCCGCGUGUAGCAGUGAAAUGCGUAGAUAUGCGGAGGAACACCGAUGGCGAAGGCAGCCUCCUGGGAUAACACUGACGCUCAUG
Molecule: ribosomal RNA, 736 nt
Filed under: Achromobacter sp. 111117_136_C_E2
Lineage: Bacteria; Pseudomonadati; Pseudomonadota; Betaproteobacteria; Burkholderiales; Alcaligenaceae
Also listed under: 1 other name
Description: bacterial SSU rRNA
Rfam family: Bacterial small subunit ribosomal RNA
Source: RNAcentral